Molecule: long non-coding RNA, 256 nt
Filed under: Anser brachyrhynchus (Pink-footed goose)
Lineage: Eukaryota; Metazoa; Chordata; Aves; Anseriformes; Anatidae
Description: lncRNA (ENSABRG00000019716.1)
Source: RNAcentral
GAUAUCUUUUUUUUCUCUCAACUCUUAGGAUAGUUUCCAUGUCAUAAUGCAGAGAGCAAUUGAACUGCAGUGAGGGAGCUCUGUCCAAAGUCAAGCCAUGCUAGAUGGGAUUCCUGUUUAGGCAAUGAGCAAGAACAUCCUGUUAUUUCUCUGUGACUGAGCAAGUAUCAUGUUCCUGCUUUGGAUGUUAGCAGUGUCACUGUUCUAAGGGUGAAUGUCCCCUGCUGUGAACCACAGCUGCUGUCACAUGAGCUGA